RNAcentral lists this non-coding RNA (26 nucleotides) under Rattus norvegicus (Norway rat). The record is from RNAcentral. Lineage: Eukaryota; Metazoa; Chordata; Mammalia; Rodentia; Muridae.
CAAGAGUGAGGUGGCCCUUAAGGGGU